AAACAAAAUGCACUCUUCCUUCUCCCCUCCGCCCCCCCGUCCCCGCCCCUUUCUUCCUCUUCCCUCAUCUCUGUCACCUUCGAUUGGGCUAAAAGAGGCCCAAUCCGCUAUCUCAAACAUCCAUUGGGACGCGGAAACUUCGCUCAGAGAAGUAUUAACAGGCGAUUGGUGGACAAUCCUUCCACUUCGCCCACCCCCACAACCCCCUCCCCCCGCCGCACCUUCACCCUUUCUGAAAAGGUCAAUCGUAUCUCGUUGUUCAGUGAUCCGGGAGGUGGAAGGCUAUUGGUUCAGGGAGCCCGUCAGACCGGACUGGAGUGAGCCAUGAUUGGUCGACACAGGCGCAAUCAGAGUCAAGAAAACUUUGCUUUUGACUUAUUUACAGCUAGUCACAAUUGAGUGAAGUAUACUCCUGUAAACAAAUUUGGAUUUCUCUCUCUCAAUCUGAUUUCUCCAGAAUGUGGAAACUAUUUAAACAGACUGCAGAUUGAAUUCCUACAUAGGCUAUUCCAGAAUUCUUACGAGACUUGCAUUAGGACAUCAGCAACAGAAGCAAGAUUAUUUCUAAAAGUCAAUAAAGGAUAUCCCAGAGGAAUUGAGGAAAAAUGGGAUGAGGACUUCAGUAAAACAUACUUUGGUGACAAACAUUUUGAUAUAAAAUUUUGUAAAAGCACACACAUCCUGAUGGGAAGAGGAUGAGUAAUUUCUUUUUAAUUCAGAGCAAGUGUUCUAAUCUGGCUGAAAUUCUGGGAAGUGCUGGAAAUCCCCAAAGCAAAGUGCCAGAUGCCAUUUCUGGAUCCUGGAUACGUGGGCUUGGUUGCUAAGAUGAUGAUGCCUCCUCCCCUUCACCACAUUCAGCUGACGCCUGAGCGACAGGGAGUUGAUGUACGCAGAGCACGGAUCUAACAAUGUCAACUGUGCUGACAUCAUCCUAGCUGUGCAGGGCUGAUGGGAAUUCAGAAUAUCAAACAUCAUAUCAAGGGCAGUGAGCAGGUAUCAUCUAGUGAACUGUUCAGAUGCAACUGAAUUGAAAAGGAGCUGAACAAAAGAUCCUGAGAGAGACUUCAACAAAAAGUAAAAUGGAUUUUAUCAUACUUGAAAAAUCAACAAUUGCAGUCUGGAUUCAUACAUCACUGUCUGAUGCACCCAACUUGAGUCAAAAAGAUGUUUCAAAUCCCACUAGGCUGGAGGCAAAAAUACUCAAGAGUUUAAGAGCGUCUCUUGACAGUGUACAGAAUAAGAUAGCUUCUCAGCUUUCAGCUUUACUUCACGGUUUUAACUAUCAAAAGAAGCAAGCCAUCUGAAGAUUUGCCUGAGACUGAAGGAUCCACUUCUGCGACGACUCCCUCAGGACUUAUAAUGCAGAUGGAACCAGAUUGAGAAAAACCAGCCAACCAACCAACCAACAUGAUGGCUGAACCAGACAAGAGAAGUCCCGAAGUAAAAUACCCACCAAUUACCAGAAUCUGUGCCUGCCAUACAUCGAAGAAAAUUCAACAGCAAUACAAAUUAACCUUUGGAAAAUCUUUCCUGGGUUUUAUGUUUGUGUGAAAUGCCCCUUUACUAAACUGGAAGAUGUGUAAGAUGGAAGAAGAGGUUCUGCUGGAUAUGGAGAAAUUGGAACCCUUGUACAUGUGGAAAUGUAAAAUGGUGCAUUAGGAAAACAGUUUCAACGGUCCUCAAAGUGGUAAACAUAGAGUUACCAUAUGACUGAGAAAUUUUACUCCCAGGUAUAUACCCAAGAUAAAUAAAAACAUGUUCAUAUAAAACUCAUAUAUAUAUGUCCAUGGCAGCUUUAUUUAUAGUUGCCAAAAUGUCUCUUGUGACUGGCUUCUUUCACUCAACAUGAUGUGUUCAAGGUCCAUUAGUAUUGGAACUUAACUCGUCUUUAUUGUUAAACGAUAUUCCACUGUAUGGACAUAUCCUCAUUUUAUUUACCCAUUCAUCAGUUGAUGGACAUUUGGGGUUUUUCCAUGUUUUGGCAGUGUGUGCAUUGUGUGUGUUGUGUGAGGGAAAGGGAUAGAAUGAAAGUGAUAUUAAGAUUAAGUGACAUAAUGUAUGUAAUAUUUCUAGCAGAGUUCCUGGGACAUGGCAGAUAUGUUAUUAUUUUAUUACUAUUGUUAUAAUUUCCUUUAUCUAGGAGAGCACAGCUUCAUUGCCAGAUGUAACUUUUAUUUAGACUAAGGAAUCAGUUAAGAUAACCAUAAGAUACUCUUGGUCUUGAACUCUGCCAUGCCUAAACAAAAAUUAUCUUCUUUGCCUUGGAAAAUUAUUACUUUAGUGAAAUAAAUUGUUUUCUUUCUAAAUUUGCAAAGUAUUAUUUUUUACACUAUAAU
Molecule: long non-coding RNA, 2336 nt
Filed under: Homo sapiens (human)
Lineage: Eukaryota; Metazoa; Chordata; Mammalia; Primates; Hominidae
Description: HSALNT0313928
Source: RNAcentral